This 322-nucleotide ribosomal RNA is filed under the name uncultured eukaryote. RNAcentral describes it as "partial 18S ribosomal RNA". It matches the Rfam family "Eukaryotic small subunit ribosomal RNA", at positions 1470 to 1796 of the family's 1831-position model. The record is from RNAcentral.
CCCUUAGAUGUUCUGGGCCGCACGCGUGCUACACUGAGUGGAUCAGCGGGUCAGGUUGCGCGAAAGUGUUUCCUAAUCUUUAAAUCCGCUCGUGAUGGGGAUUGACGGUUGCAAUUUUCCGUCAUGAACGAGGAAUACCUUGUAAGCGCGGGUCAUCAUCCCGCGCUGAAUACGUCCCUGCCCUUUGUACACACCGCCCGUCGCUCCUACCGAUUGAGUGGUCCGGUGAGGCUUUGGGAUCUGAGCGGAAAGAGCGUUUCGCUGUUUCUGCCCGGAAAGCUCAGUCGAACCUUAUCAUUUAGAGGAAGGGGAAGUCGUAACA